Molecule: ribosomal RNA, 914 nt
Filed under: uncultured bacterium
Lineage: Bacteria
Description: bacterial SSU rRNA
Rfam family: Bacterial small subunit ribosomal RNA
Source: RNAcentral
AGAGUUUGAUCCUGGCUCAGAUUGAACGCUGGCGGAAUGCUUUACACAUGCAAGUCGAACGAUGAACCUUAGCUUGCUAAGGGGAUUAGUGGCGAACGGGUGAGUAAUAUAUCGGAACGUGCCUUGUAAUGGGGGAUAACUAGUCGAAAGAUUAGCUAAUACCGCAUACGCCCUGAGGGGGAAAGUAGGGGAUCUUCGGACCUUACGUUAUAAGAGCGGCCGAUAUCUGAUUAGCUAGUUGGUGGGGUAAUGGCCUACCAAGGCGACGAUCAGUAGCUGGUCUGAGAGGACGACCAGCCACACUGGAACUGAGACACGGUCCAGACUCCUACGGGAGGCAGCAGUGGGGAAUUUUGGACAAUGGGCGAAAGCCUGAUCCAGCCAUUCCGCGUGAGUGAAGAAGGCCUUCGGGUUGUAAAGCUCUUUCGCAAGGGAAGAAAACUUACAUUCUAAUAAAGUGUGAGGCUGACGGUACCUUGAUAAGAAGCACCGGCUAACUACGUGCCAGCAGCCGCGGUAAUACGUAGGGUGCGAGCGUUAAUCGGAAUUACUGGGCGUAAAGCGUGCGCAGGCGGUUUGGCAAGUCAGAUGUGAAAUCCCCGAGCUCAACUUGGGAACUGCGUUUGAAACUGCCAGACUAGAAUAUGUCAGAGGGGGGUAGAAUUCCACGUGUAGCAGUGAAAUGCGUAGAGAUGUGGAGGAAUACCAAUGGCGAAGGCAGCCCCCUGGGAUAACAUUGACGCUCAUGCACGAAAGCGUGGGGAGCAAACAGGAUUAGAUACCCUGGUAGUCCACGCCCUAAACGAUGUCUACUAGUUGUUGGUGGAGUAAAAUCCAUGAGUAACGCAGCUAACGCGUGAAGUAGACCGCCUGGGGAGUACGGUCGCAAGAUUAAAACUCAAAUGAAUUGACGG